This 199-nucleotide long non-coding RNA is filed under the name Gossypium barbadense (sea-island cotton). Its description in RNAcentral is "long non-coding RNA (GBAR_LNC005219)". The record is from RNAcentral. Lineage: Eukaryota; Viridiplantae; Streptophyta; Magnoliopsida; Malvales; Malvaceae.
UCUUCGGUACUGGUACUAUGUUAGCUACCCAUUCUGGGUACUUGGAGACUUGUAGGAAGCCAGCAUCAAACUGUUUCUUGACUUCUUCUUUUAUCUUUAACACCAUUUCAGGUCUCAUUUGUCUUAGCUUCUGUUGAAUGGGUUUGCAUUCUGGUUUCAGUGGGAGUCUAUGGACCACUACAUCCUCAUCCAAUCCUGG